CAUUUCUACAGUAAGAUAUACUUCAAUAUUACCAGUGGCUAUCUCUGUUGGCACUGGGAUUUGGGGUGUCUUAAAAAAAUUCUGUAGUAAUCAUAAAGUAAAAUUAUAUAGUAAAUAACAGUGGAAUUUGUUUUUAAUUUAAUUGUCUUUUAAUUAAAAUACAACUAUGGACAUAGGAAACCUCUAGAUUUGGAAGUUUUCUGUUUUUGUUGAUUCAUCAACAAGUCAUCAACAUUACUUGUUGACUGUUGGUGUCACCCAUGCUAUAAAAAGGAUAAAUGACAGGGCAUGGAGUUUGUCACCUCUGAUAUAAACUUAGAUUUGUUUUGUAGCAACCAGAAGUCAAGUCCAGCUCAGCAAAAUAUGCUGUUUAAUAUAAAGAGCUGAUUGGUUGCUACCCUUGCCUUCUUUUGACAGCCAAUACAGAGAGAGGGAGAGAGAAAAAGGAGGGAUCAGAAGCUAUAUUUCUAACUUUUGAUUAGUGAACUAGAGAAGGAAGCCUAACACUGCAGGACCUUGACCUUCACAUCUACUUUAGUGGCCCCUCUGGGUCAGAGAUGGAUGGUUUGUACAAGUUUUCUAUGUAUAUUAAAAAUGUUAUAGAAAUACAGGGGGGAAUAUGAUUUAUGGUGUUUUCAGUUUAACUUUCUUUAGAAAUAUGGGCACACGAUUUAAAAAUCAAUAUGUUCCAGAACACUUUUCAUGUAAAGGAAAUUCUUUGAAUUUUAAAUUGUAUUCUCUCUCUGACACUCUUUACAGAAAUGAAAAUGCAUUUCUCUGAGCCCAGAAAUUGAGUUUCUGAAAUCUGAAUCACUGAGGUGCCUGAAACUCUGCUGUCUAAUGGAUGAAUGGGUUGAAAAUGUGAAGAUAUGAUUACCAUGAAUCCUUUGUACAAGCAAGCUGCUUCUGACCAUGAGAAAAUCAGUAGCAUUCCUGGCACUGUAGAACCAAACCUUGACAAGUUCAGCAGCAUCCUCAGCAUCACAGAACUACGAAGAGGUCAGCAGUAUCCCAGCACCAAAAUCACAGCAUCUCCAAUAGCAUCGAAGCAUUAAAAGGAAUCAGGAAUUCCAGAUUCUUCACAGUAUCAGGGGCCUUGAGGAGGAAGCAGCUGUACUAAUAAAUUCACAGAUAUUCUGGAUUAACUGACUGCAACCUGGAAGAGCAGGAGCACAUUGUUGAGUCUACAGUAGUUUUCUGUUGUGCAGAAAAUGGCAAAUAAAAACAUGUACUUGCUUCAAUCUUCAUAUCCUUAUUAUUUCUUCCCUUCCCCACUCAAUCCUUUUGGAAGGCCUAGAGACUGAACC
RNAcentral lists this long non-coding RNA (1307 nucleotides) under Pan troglodytes (chimpanzee). Its description in RNAcentral is "lncRNA (ENSPTRG00000053193.1)". The record is from RNAcentral. Lineage: Eukaryota; Metazoa; Chordata; Mammalia; Primates; Hominidae.